CCUACGGGUGACAGCAGUGAGGAAUAUUUGUCAAUGGACGCAAGUCUGAACCAGCCAUGCCGCGUGCAGGAUUACGGCUCUAUGAGUUGUAAACUGCUUUUGUACGAGGGUAAAUCCCGAUACGUGUAUCGGGUUGGAAGUAUCGUACGAAUACGGAUCGGCUAACUCCGUGCCAGCAGCCGCGGUAAUACGGAGGAUCCGAGCGUUAUCCGGAUUUAUUGGGUUUAAAGGGUGCGUAGGCGGUUUGAUAAGUUAGAGGUGAAAUGUCGGGGCUCAACCCCGAAACUGCCUCUAAUACUGUUGGACUAGAGAAUAGUUGCGGUAGGCGGAAUGUAUGGUGUAGCGGUGAAAUGCUUAGAGAUCGUACAGAACACCGAUUGCGAAGGCAGCUUACCAAACUAUAUCUGACGUUGAGGCACGAAAGCGUGGGUAGCGAACAGGAUUAGAUACCCGAGUAGUC
RNAcentral lists this ribosomal RNA (460 nucleotides) under uncultured bacterium. Its description in RNAcentral is "partial 16S ribosomal RNA". It matches the Rfam family "Bacterial small subunit ribosomal RNA", at positions 338 to 795 of the family's 1533-position model. The record is from RNAcentral.